UACGUAGGCAGCGAGCGUUGUUCGGAGUUACUGGGCGUAAAGCGUGCGUAGGCGGUGUCUUAAGUUUGUUGUGAAAUCUCCCGGCUUAACCGGGAGGGUGCGGCGAAUACUGAGAUGCUGGAGUGCCGGAGAGGUAAGCGGAAUUCCUGGUGUAGCGGUGAAAUGCGUAGAUAUCAAGAGGAGCACCAGUGGCGAAGGCGAGUCCCUGGACAAACCCUGACACUGAGGCACGAAAGCCAAGGGAGCAAACAGG
This 253-nucleotide ribosomal RNA is filed under the name uncultured bacterium. RNAcentral describes it as "partial 16S ribosomal RNA". It matches the Rfam family "Bacterial small subunit ribosomal RNA", at positions 524 to 776 of the family's 1533-position model. The record is from RNAcentral.